CAGCAGCCGCGGUAAUACGGAGGGUGCAAGCGUUAAUCGGAAUUACUGGGCGUAAAGCGCACGCAGGCGGUCUGUCAAGUCAGAUGUGAAAUCCCCGGGCUUAACCUGGGAACUGCAUUUGAAACUGGCAGGCUAGAGUCUUGUAGAGGGGGGUAGAAUUCCAGGUGUAGCGGUGAAAUGCGUAGAGAUCUGGAGGAAUACCGGUGGCGAAGGCGGCCCCCUGGACAAAGACUGACGCUCAGGUGCGAAAGCGUGGGGAGCAAACAGGAUUAGAGACCCCGGUAGUCCCUGUCUCUUAUAC
This 301-nucleotide ribosomal RNA is filed under the name uncultured bacterium. RNAcentral's name for it is "partial 16S ribosomal RNA". It matches the Rfam family "Bacterial small subunit ribosomal RNA", at positions 509 to 807 of the family's 1533-position model. The record is from RNAcentral.